AAUAACUAAGCGGAGGAAAAGAAACUAACCAGGAUUCCCCCAGUAACGGCGAGUGAAGCGGGAAGAGCUCACGUUGUAAAUCUGCCCCAGUGGUCGAAUUGUAGUCUGGAGAGGCGAGGCCAGCCGUUGUCGGGGGCGAAGUCUCUUGGAAAAGAGCAUCAAGGAGGGUGACAAUCCCGUUCCUGCCCCCGCGCGACGCGCGUCCGGCCCGUUUUCGAAGAGUCGAGUUGCUUGGGAUUGCAGCUCAAAGCGGGUGGUAAAUUCCAUCUAAAGCUAAAUACGAGUGGGAGACCGAUAGCGAACAAGUACCGUGAGGGAAAGAUGCAAAGAACUUUGAAAAGAGAGUUAAAGAGUGCCUGAAAUUGCUGAAAGGGAAGCGAAGGAAAUCAGUGUCUGGCGGUGUACUGGUUCUCCGGCGCCCUCCGGGACGUCGGACUGAACAGAUUCCGCCGUGGCCAGGGCCGGGUGACGUUGCGGGAGACUGCGCAAGGCGGGAGGUACGUCUCCGUAUCUUUCGGAGAGGGAUUACAACGUGGCGUGUCGUCGCGACGCCGGCCGGUUCUGACGAAAUGGUUUUCUUCAC
Molecule: ribosomal RNA, 583 nt
Filed under: Cystosphaera jacquinotii
Lineage: Eukaryota; Phaeophyceae; Fucales; Seirococcaceae
Description: LSU rRNA
Rfam family: Eukaryotic large subunit ribosomal RNA
Source: RNAcentral